GAUGACAGCUAACAUGGCAUUGCAUGGGUGUACUAAUACAUUGUCUGGACUGUUUUGGCGAAGACAUCCGGUCUGCCUCUGGGCACGUACUGAAGGGCAGCUGGCACAGUCAUCUCUGUGGUGUUUGGCAGAUGUUGGGCGUGGGAGAUUUGAGCUGCUUGCGAGCAGCUGCUCGCAUAGCACUGGAACGGUGUGCUUGAGGAGGUCUGUCGAAUCUUGAAAGCUUACAGAUAUGGGGUUUUGAAACUUUUAUUUUUAUUUCUAUGCUGUCCCCAGUAGAGUGUAAACCUUUGGAGGAACCUGUCACAGGAAAGAGCUCCUUCUGGAACUGUUCAGCACUCGGUAGGCAGCUCGGUGACUGGCUUGAUCUACUUCUGAGGUGCUGAGGUAUGGGGGCUUCUGUUUUGAAAUGAUAAUAUUGUAAAUGGGGUCCCUUUGUGUUGUUGAGCGAUGGGUGCUAAUGCUGGCAGCUGAAUGAUUAUCUUGUGACUGUUUUCAUUUGUUUAAGGUGAAACACAGUGUACAACACGGGACUUGACCGGAGCUGCUUUUGGCAAGGGGUGUUGUAGCUGGCCUAAGAGAGCAGAUGGAAGCAUCUUCCUCGAGGGCAGGUGAGGGCGCCGAGGUGUCUCGCACAGGCUGAGUAGGGCCAAGCUGCACUCUGAAGAGCAGCACGAGAAGGGCGGGCUGGUUGUGAGCUGGAUUGGAGCAGAACUGCCAAGUAGCACGAGGUGUCCCAGGCAACGUGGGCUGUGAUGUUAGUCUUCAGAAUCGGAACAAAGCGGGUGCUGAUGGCUGUCUUCUUUGGUAGGCAAGGAGGUGCCCAAAGCCCUGUCUUGUGUAGCCUGAGCACGCCUCGCUGAGUAUGAAGCUUGAUUUCCAGCAGUUCUGAAAACUGUGUUGAGGCUGAAAUGCUGUU
Non-coding RNA from Anas platyrhynchos (mallard), 919 nucleotides. Lineage: Eukaryota; Metazoa; Chordata; Aves; Anseriformes; Anatidae. The record is from RefSeq and is a predicted model, not a curated record.